RNAcentral lists this unclassified non-coding RNA (379 nucleotides) under soil metagenome. RNAcentral's name for it is "partial contains 5.8S ribosomal RNA, internal transcribed spacer 2, and large subunit ribosomal RNA". The stretch from base 1 to 120 matches the Rfam family "5.8S ribosomal RNA", at positions 35 to 154 of the family's 154-position model. The record is from RNAcentral.
GAUGAAGAACGCAGUGAAAUGCGAUAAGUAAUGUGAAUUGCAGAAUUCAGUGAAUCAUCGAAUCUUUGAACGCAACUUGCGCUCCUUGGUAUUCCAUGGAGCAUGCCUGUUUGAGUGUCACGUAAACCCUCGCCCCUUGCGAUGUAACAGUCGCACCGUGGUGGAUUUGGACCGUGCCGUAGUCGGCUCGUCCUGAAAUGCAUUAGCUUGCGCUUUGUUACAGUGCUCGGCAUGGUGUGAUAAUUAUCUGCGCCGUCGCCUUAGGCCUGUUCUGUGUGCGCUGCUUCCAAUCGUCCCUCGUGGACAACUUUACACAACACUUUGGCCUCAAAUCAGGUAGGACUACCCGCUGAACUUAAGCAUAUCAAUAAGCGGAGGA